This 398-nucleotide ribosomal RNA is filed under the name uncultured bacterium. Its description in RNAcentral is "bacterial SSU rRNA". It matches the Rfam family "Bacterial small subunit ribosomal RNA", at positions 358 to 773 of the family's 1533-position model. The record is from RNAcentral.
GGAAUCUUGGACAAUGGGCGCAAGCCUGAUCCAGCCAUGCCGCGUGAGUGAAGAAGGCCUUAGGGUUGUAAAGCUCUUUUACCAGGGAUGAUAAUGACAGUACCUGGAGAAUAAGCUCCGGCUAACUCCGUGCCACCAGCCGCGGUAAUACGGAGGGAGCUAGCGUUGUUCGGAAUUACUGGGCGUAAAGCGCGCGUAGGCGGCGAUCCAAGUCAGGGGUGAAAUCCCGGGGCUCAACCCCGGAACUGCCCUUGAAACUAGAUUGCUAGAAUACUGGAGAGGUGAGUGGAAUUCCGAGUGUAGAGGUGAAAUUCGUAGAUAUUCGGAAGAACACCAGUGGCGAAGGCGACUCACUGGACAGUUAUUGACGCUGAGGUGCGAAAGCGUGGGGAGCAAAC